CCUACGGGAGGCAGCAGUGGGGAAUAUUGCACAAUGGGGGAAACCCUGAUGCAGCAACGCCGCGUGAGUGAAGACGUAUCUCGGUAUGUAAAGCCCUAUCAGCAGGGAAGAAAAUGCCGGUACCUGACUACGAAGCCCCGGCUAACUACGUGCCAGCAGCCGCGGUCAUCAGUAGGGGGCAAGCGUUAUCCGGAUUUACUGGGUGUAAAGGGGGCGUAGACGGUGUGGCAAGUCUCAAGUGAAAGCCCGGGGGUCAACCCCGGGACUGCUUUGGAAACUGUCAUGCUGGAGUGCUGGAGAGGUAAGCGGAAUGCCUAGUGUAGCGGUGAAAUGCGUAGAUAUUAGGAAGAACACCAGUGGCGAAGGCGGCUUACUGGACAGUAACUGACGUUGAGGCUCGAAAGCGUGGGGAGCAAACAGGAUUAGAUACCCCUGUAGUC
Molecule: ribosomal RNA, 440 nt
Filed under: uncultured bacterium
Lineage: Bacteria
Description: partial 16S ribosomal RNA
Rfam family: Bacterial small subunit ribosomal RNA
Source: RNAcentral